RNAcentral lists this transfer RNA (74 nucleotides) under Lutibacter sp. RNAcentral describes it as "tRNA-Thr". It matches the Rfam family "tRNA". Rfam says of the family: Transfer RNA (tRNA) molecules are approximately 80 nucleotides in length. The record is from RNAcentral. Lineage: Bacteria; Pseudomonadati; Bacteroidota; Flavobacteriia; Flavobacteriales; Flavobacteriaceae.
GCCGACAUAGCUUAGUUUGGCAGAGCAGCUGAAUCGUAAUCAGCAGGUCGUGGGUUCGAGCCCCUCUGUCGGCU